Schistocerca gregaria is the source of this 438-nucleotide long non-coding RNA. RefSeq lists it as uncharacterized. Lineage: Eukaryota; Metazoa; Arthropoda; Insecta; Orthoptera; Acrididae. The transcript has 3 exons. The record is from RefSeq and is a predicted model, not a curated record.
UUUGAUGCUGUUUGGUAGGUGCCCAAAGACUUUUGUGGCAGCAUAAUUUACCCCUUUCUGUGCCAAAGUCAGAUUUAACCCUGCAUAGUGAAGAUCAUCCUUUCUCCUGGUGUUAUAGGUUCGCUAAGGAUGAAAACCGAAGGCAGCUUUGGAUACAGGCCCUGAAAUGGAACAACUUUAAGCCAUCUGCACAUACGCGCCAUUUUGUAUAUACAAGUGAGAUUAUAAUAAGAUGCUCCUGGGUGUUGGUGAGAGAACUGCAUGCAACCAGUGGAGCAAGUAGCAAGUAUGCUGGGCUGUGGGAAACAUUUGUCAUUAUUGGCUCACUGCAUGAUUGAAUCCAGAAAGCCUGAUAAUAACGAGCAAGGAGCAGCAACAUACAUUCCACGAGAUGAAAAACUCAUUAUGAUAGUAAAUUAUGUAAUUUCGGAGUUCAAG